ACCAGGAUUAGAUACCCUACUAUAAUUAAAGUAAAUUUAUACCGGAGUACUAGUAGUUAUUUUCUUUAAAUUCAAAGAAUUUGGCGGUAUUUUAGUCCUUUUAGAGGAACCUGUUUUAUAAACGAUAAACCACGAAUAUCUUACCUGUUUUAUGUUUGUAUACCGUCAUUAUCAGACAAUUUUAAAAGAGUAAAUUGUUGAAAAUAAAAUAGUUAAAAAAAUUAGAUCAAGGUGCAGCUUAUGUUCAGGAGAAAAUGGGUUACAAUAAAAAUAGUUUAAUAUGGAGCUUUUUCUGAAAUUGGAGAAGUGAAGGUGGAUUUAAUUGUAAUUAUGUUUGAUUAAAAAAAUUUGAUAUAGGCUCUAAAAUAUGUACAUAUCGCCCGUCGC
RNAcentral lists this ribosomal RNA (387 nucleotides) under Phimochirus tunnelli. Its description in RNAcentral is "partial small subunit ribosomal RNA". The record is from RNAcentral. Lineage: Eukaryota; Metazoa; Arthropoda; Malacostraca; Decapoda; Paguridae.